GUCAACAGACAAGUAGUUUGCAAUUCAAGGUAUAGGUGUUGAUGCCCAAGCUACUAUACCAAUGGAUGUGUAGAAAAAUAUUGAAUCCUAUGUCAAAAUAAUGGGCUCUCAUGGACAAUUAUGGUGGAAAGUGAAGUCUCCUAUAUUCCAAGCGCACGACGAAAACAAAAAGAUGUUCACCAAAGGUCAGGAGGUCACAGAGAAGCAAUCAAUAGAUCACCAACCUUUCUUUUAGAUACAAAGGCACCUGUCAUGGCAACACCUAUCUUUUAGAUACAAGCUAUUGGCUAUUACAUGAGCUCAUUGGAAAGGGAUGGCACAACUACCUUCUCAGUCAGCCAACCAUGAUCGAUGCAAAUUUAUGAAUGAAGAUGGAUCGUAGAAAAUCAUCCAAACGGUGUUCAGCUACGACGCAUACAAAUGUUGCAAGAACAAAAUGGCAUUGGAAUCGGAUUGAAUGGUCAAACAUGAAAACUCACGAGUUCGCACAGCCUUCCAAGUCAAACCCUUUAAUUGCUGUUAGUGUGCACGAUUCCCAGUAACUUGUUGCGCUGAAACUACAAAGAGUUGACCUCAAUGUCGAGCAUAAAACUAAAACUGGA
Non-coding RNA from Musa acuminata subsp. malaccensis (wild Malaysian banana), 602 nucleotides. The record is from RefSeq and is a predicted model, not a curated record. NCBI's taxonomy places the organism in Eukaryota, Viridiplantae, Streptophyta, Magnoliopsida, Zingiberales, Musaceae.